GAUGAAGAACGGAGCGAAAUGCGAUAAGUAAUGUGAAUUGCAGAAUUCAGUGAAUCAUCGAAUCUUUGAACGCACAUUGCGCCCGCCAGUAUUCUGGCGGGCAUGCCUGUUCGAGCGUCAUUUCAACCAUCAAGCCCCCGGCGUGUGUUGGGGACCUGCGGCUGCCGCAGGCCCUGAAAAGCAGUGGCGGGCUCGCUGUCACACCGAGCGUAGUAGCAUACAUCUCGCUCUGGGCGUGCUGCGGGUUCCGGCCGUUAAACCACCUUCAUAACCCAAGGUUGACCUCGGAUCAGGUAGGAAGACCCGCUGAACUUAAGCAUAUCAAUAAGCGGAGGA
Molecule: unclassified non-coding RNA, 336 nt
Filed under: soil metagenome
Description: partial contains 5.8S ribosomal RNA, internal transcribed spacer 2, and large subunit ribosomal RNA
Rfam family: 5.8S ribosomal RNA (bases 1-120)
Source: RNAcentral